Molecule: long non-coding RNA, 1740 nt
Filed under: Ursus americanus (American black bear)
Lineage: Eukaryota; Metazoa; Chordata; Mammalia; Carnivora; Ursidae
Description: lncRNA (ENSUAMG00000002397.1)
Source: RNAcentral
AUGGCAAAACAUCUGAUCUCCUCAGCCCAGAGCAUCCAAGAGGGGCUGGAUGGGACUAACCACCCAGAUAUCCUCAGCCCUCUUCGGGACCAGGUCCAAAGGGUUGACACUGCUAAGGGACGACCUAAUUUUUUUCUCCCCAGCCUUCAGGACUCUACAGCUCCUGCACUGAAACACCAAGGGGAAGCUGGGGUGGAGAAAAGCAAGUCCGGUACCUCCUCUCCACUGAGGGACAAUCUUUCCUGCCCCUUGAUUCCUGACAUCCAUCAACAGAGGAGGGACUCUCCACCACCAGCCACCAGCCAACUCAACCUUGCUGCAGAGAGCCAGAGCCACCAGGCAGUGACCUCAGCUAACACCAACUUGCAGGAGCAGGAUGCAGCCGUGGAUGGACCUCAGGAGGCCCUGGCUGGGGAGGGGCCGCUGGGGUCAGAGAGGAUGCUUGGACUCCAAGAAAUCCCAACACUAGCACCUUCUGUUAUUGACCUAGCGAGGGAGAUAGCACACUGCACAACUGCUAGAAGCAAUGGGCUUCUGGAAGUGACUCUCCAGCUGUCUGGGAGACUCAGGGAAACCGGCCAGGGUUUGGUGGCCAGGGCUGGUGACUGGUACCCUCUGUGUCAGCAGCUGUUUUGUCACAGCCCAGCAGUGGAUCUUCCAGGGAACAUGGCAGCGUUCAUGGAGCUGCAGCAGAACUUAGCCUCAGUGGUUCAACUAGCAGCCAAAAGUGGGCCUGUGGAUUGGGAUAAGCAGGACCCUGCCUCCACUGGGCAUCCAGAAGCACUUUUACAAAUGCAAGGCAGAUUGGAGGAGGUGGAGACCCAUUCUAAACAGCUGUUGGACAAGAUUCUGGCUUCUGAAGGCCUCCAAGCCCCUGAGUCAUGGGAGGAGAGCAUUGAGGGUGGGUGCCUUCUAUGGUCAGUGGCUGUCCAAGGCCUACUUCAGUGCAUGAAGGGACUCAGCAGGAAACAAAGCCUGUUCUUACUGCCCCUGCAACAGGCCGUGAAGGACCAGCAGGGACUGCAGGAAGGGUUGGCCCAGGCAGCAGAUGGUUCUCAGAGGCUACAAGAGGCUGCCAGGCUCUCUAGCCUCCUGUGCGGGGAUGUGCAGGUAAAAGGUGAGGUCUCCUUUUUGUGCAGGGAAAUGCACGUGCUCACAGAUGCUCUGCUGGAUGUGGCAGAAAUCCUGGCCUCCUCCCCCAAACCAUCUCCCAGCCUGUCCACACGCUUUGAACUUCUCUGCUUGGAGCUCUCCUUUCGAGCCAAGGCCCUGACUGGCCACCUCAGCAUCAUCAAUGCUGACUAUGAACGUGCCUUCCAAGAUGCCUUCUGUCCAAGGCUCCCUGUCUGUAAAGAACCUCAGACCAGGCCAGAAAGCUCCCUGGAAAGAAUGGUGUCUGGUAUCCAAGCUGCACAGGGAAUCGUGGCAGGAAGUCAGGAGUCUGGGCCCUGCCAGAAAGACCUUUUUAUGGCUCUGGAGAGCAUUCUCGUCCUCACCAAGGAGGUGGCCCAGAGGGUCCCAGUGCUCCAAGAACACCCAGAGGAGUGGAGAAUGCACACCCUGGACUGGCUUCAGUGGGAGUGGGCAGCCAAGGCUCAUCAUGCCAUGGCCCAGCUCCAGGCCUGGAAGGGUGGUCACACCAAGGCCUGGAGACUCCUGGCCCAGUGCCUGAAGCCCAGUGAGGAGACAGCGGUGAUGAAACCCAGGGAUGAACAGAACCCUGCCCCGGCUCCACUGUGA